RNAcentral lists this transfer RNA (73 nucleotides) under Camelus bactrianus (Bactrian camel). It matches the Rfam family "tRNA". From Rfam's summary of the family: Transfer RNA (tRNA) molecules are approximately 80 nucleotides in length. Their secondary structure includes four short double-helical elements and three loops (D, anti-codon, and T loops). Further hydrogen bonds mediate the characteristic L-shaped molecular structure. tRNAs have two regions of fundamental functional importance: the anti-codon, which is responsible for specific mRNA codon recognition, and the 3' end, to which the tRNAs corresponding amino acid is attached (by aminoacyl-tRNA synthetases). tRNAs cope with the degeneracy of the genetic code in two manners: having more than one tRNA (with a specific anti-codon) for a particular amino acid; and 'wobble' base-pairing, i.e. permitting non-standard base-pairing at the 3rd anti-codon position. The record is from Rfam by way of RNAcentral. RNAcentral also lists the same sequence under 1 other name. Lineage: Eukaryota; Metazoa; Chordata; Mammalia; Artiodactyla; Camelidae.
GAGGGUAUAGCUUAGUGGUAGAGUGCAUGCUUAGCAUGCAUGAGGUCCUGUGUUUAAUUCCCUGGUACCUCCA